GAGGAAUAUUGGUCAAUGGGCGGGAGCCUGAACCAGCCAAGUCGCGUGAAGGAAGAAGGAUCUAUGGUUCGUAAACUUCUUUUGCAGGGGAAUAAAGUGCAGGACGUGUCCUGUUUUGUAUGUACCCUGAGAAUAAGGAUCGGCUAACUCCGUGCCAGCAGCCGCGGUAAUACGGAGGAUCCGAGCGUUAUCCGGAUUUAUUGGGUUUAAAGGGUGCGUAGGUGGUUUGAUAAGUCAGCGGUGAAAGUUUGCAGCUUAACUGUAAAAAUGCCGUUGAAACUGUCGGACUUGAGUGUAAAUGAGGUAGGCGGAAUGCGUGGUGUAGCGGUGAAAUGCAUAGAUAUCACGCAGAACUCCGAUUGCGAAGGCAGCUUACUAAGCUACAACUGACACUGAAGCACGAAAGCGUGGGGAUCAAAC
RNAcentral lists this ribosomal RNA (420 nucleotides) under uncultured bacterium. Its description in RNAcentral is "bacterial SSU rRNA". It matches the Rfam family "Bacterial small subunit ribosomal RNA", at positions 356 to 773 of the family's 1533-position model. The record is from RNAcentral.